Long non-coding RNA from Pollicipes pollicipes, 888 nucleotides. RefSeq lists it as uncharacterized. The transcript is spliced from 3 exons. Lineage: Eukaryota; Metazoa; Arthropoda; Thecostraca; Pollicipedomorpha; Pollicipedidae. The record is from RefSeq and is a predicted model, not a curated record.
CGCGCCGCCGCCGCCGCCGCAGCGACUCUCGUCCUCGGCCCAGCACCGGAACUCGUUCAACGCCAACUCUGGCGCCACAGACUACGAGCGACGGUUCUCCGACCGGUUCCACAGCCUGUCGCAGCUGCCGCCGCCCGAGCCGCUCACAAACUGCUACAAAAUCUACCCCAGCAAGAACCAGCGUCCCCGCAACAAGCGUCCCCCCGCUCCGCCCCCGCCGCCGACGCAAGUCCAACUCGGCCACAAACUGUACGAGAGCGGCGGCUCGUCCUACGCCUGAGGCCCUGACGGCGACCGUGGAGCUGCCUGGCGGACGAGCGCGGAACUUCGCCGCGGAGGCGGUGUCAGAGGCCGCCGCCUGCGGGCGGUGGCGAGUGUGAGUCACGUGCUAUGCAAUCGAAACGGGCGUCUUAGUAAUAAUGCGGCGCUGUUGUUGUUGGUGUCGAUUUACGACUGCUGGCAUCGCUAGUAGGUGGACGCAUGGGUUACACGUUCAGUCCCGGGCGCACCUUGUUAACUUCACUGCUGGCGAGGCCGUAGCACCGAGCACGGUUCACCGGGGUGCGGAGCUGGUCGAGGGGGUCAACAUCUGGCGGUCGGCCGCCGGCGGGCGAGACGCCGGCUGUCGUCGCUGCGCGGCCGGUCGGGCGGCCGGGCCGAUCCCGUCUGUGAUCACGUGCAGCACAAAGCGGCGUGGCGCGGCGUGCGUGCGCCCGUGCCGCCACGCCCGGGGCGGAGUGUGGGCCUGCGUCGCCCGCCGCCCCGGCUCAGCCAGCAGCGAGGGAUGACGCCCGGGCCCCUGCUCGGGGCAGCCAGCCGGUCGGCUAGCUCGGGAGCGGCGCCGCGACGAGCCAGCGGCGUCUGUUUUUGUGACUCGUCGGCUGGUGC